AAAGCUUUCAAAUCAAACACUCCCUCCUUAGAGGAGGAAGAAGAUUCAAAAUUGCGCUCUUCAAGAGCUCCUGUGAACCAGGACUUCUGGCAGCCCUGAGGUUCUGGCCCUGCUGGAAACCCUACCACAGAGCAGGGAUGGCAAGAAUUAAGAGGACAUCAAAACCUCAAACAAGCUACACUCCUGUGGAUUUGGGAAGAAACAAGACACUUUGACAUUCCUUCUAUGGUUUCCUUGGCAACAUCCAUAACAACUCCGUAAUACAAUGGGUCUCUGUUUUCUUAACCCUUCAGUGUGUCAACUGAAUGAAAACUUCCUUGAGGAAAUAUUUCAGCCUACUGGGUAGAGUGGCAUAAAUUAAAACCAGUGAUGCACAACCUUCGGACUCCUUCCCAUAGCUCAGGGUGGGGCCCUGGGGAGGGACUCUGACAGAGGGAGCAAUACACAAAUUCCACCUCACUGCAGGCAGUUUCUUCAUAAAAGACUGGCACUGAUACUGUUUAGAGGUGAUUUAUAUGGAAAAAUAACAGAUACUCCAAGCAAGCACAACAUUAAAUUAUCCUAGGAAGUCUCCAUCAAAUAUAUUUAGUAAGGGGGAAAAAAAAUCCCAAACCCAUGAAUUGUAUAUCCCUACUGCCAAAAAUAACAGAAGCCCAAGAAACAGCCUUUAAUCACUUGUAUCCAAAAUAAAAAGGAAAGAUUAGGAACAUUUUAUUAGGCCAAUUUUAUCUAGCUGUUAAUUCAAAAAUAAUAAUUCAGAGC
Molecule: long non-coding RNA, 762 nt
Filed under: Fukomys damarensis (Damara mole-rat)
Lineage: Eukaryota; Metazoa; Chordata; Mammalia; Rodentia; Bathyergidae
Description: lncRNA (ENSFDAG00000026344.1)
Source: RNAcentral